Molecule: ribosomal RNA, 887 nt
Filed under: Penicillium decaturense
Lineage: Eukaryota; Fungi; Ascomycota; Eurotiomycetes; Eurotiales; Aspergillaceae
Description: LSU rRNA
Rfam family: Eukaryotic large subunit ribosomal RNA
Source: RNAcentral
GCAUAUCAAUAAGCGGAGGAAAAGAAACCAACCGGGAUUGCCCUAGUAACGGCGAGUGAAGCGGCAAGAGCUCAAAUUUGAAAGCUGGCUCCUUCGGGGUCCGCAUUGUAAUUUGCAGAGGAUGCUUCGGGAGCGGUCCCCAUCUAAGUGCCCUGGAACGGGCCGUCAUAGAGGGUGAGAAUCCCGUAUGGGAUGGGGUGCCCGCGCCCGUGUGAAGCUCCUUCGACGAGUCGAGUUGUUUGGGAAUGCAGCUCUAAUUGGGUGGUAAAUUUCAUCUAAAGCUAAAUAUUGGCCGGAGACCGAUAGCGCACAAGUAGAGUGAUCGAAAGAUGAAAAGCACUUUGAAAAGAGAGUUAAACAGCACGUGAAAUUGUUGAAAGGGAAGCGCUUGCGAUCAGACUCGCUCGCGGGGUUCAGCCGGCCUUCGGGCCGGUGUACUUCCCCGCGGGCGGGCCAGCGUCGGUUUGGGCGGCCGGUCAAAGGCCCCUGGAAUGUAACGCCUCUCGGGGCGUCUUAUAGCCAGGGGUGCCAUGCGGCCUGCCCGGACCGAGGAACGCGCUUCGGCUCGGACGCUGGCAUAAUGGUCGUAAGCGACCCGUCUUGAAACACGGACCAAGGAGUCUAACAUCUACGCGAGUGUUCGGGUGUCAAACCCGUGCGCGCAGUGAAAGCGAACGGAGGUGGGAACCCCUCGGGGUGCACCAUCGACCGAUCCUGAUGUCUUCGGAUGGAUUUGAGUAAGAGCGUAGCUGUUGGGACCCGAAAGAUGGUGAACUAUGCCUGAAUAGGGCGAAGCCAGAGGAAACUCUGGUGGAGGCUCGCAGCGGUUCUGACGUGCAAAUCGAUCGUCAAAUUUGGGUAUAGGGGCGAAAGACUAAUCGACCAAC